This 404-nucleotide ribosomal RNA is filed under the name Fusobacteriota bacterium. RNAcentral's name for it is "Fusobacteria bacterium partial 16S ribosomal RNA". It matches the Rfam family "Bacterial small subunit ribosomal RNA", at positions 355 to 776 of the family's 1533-position model. The record is from RNAcentral. Lineage: Bacteria; Fusobacteriati; Fusobacteriota.
UGGGGAAUAUUGCACAAUGGAGGGAACUCUGAUGCAGCGACGCCGCGCGAGUGAUGAAGGAAUUCGUUUCGUAAAACUCUGUUCUAUGGGAAGAAAAGGACUGUACCAUAGGAGAAAGCUCCGGCUAAAUACGUGCCAGCAGCCGCGGUAAUACGUAUGGAGCGAGCGUUGUCCGGAAUUAUUGGGCGUAAAGGGUGCGCAGGCGGCUUUACAAGUUGGAUGUGAAAUAUUGUGGCUCAACCACAAACGUGCAUCCAAAACUGCAAAGCUUGAGUUAAGGAGAGGUAAGUGGAAUUCCUGGUGUAGCGGUGAAAUGCGUAGAUAUCAGGAGGAAUACCGGUGGCGAAGGCGACUUACUGGACUUAAACUGACGCUCAGGCACGAAAGCGUGGGGAGCAAACAGG